UCCGGAUGAGUUGCGAACGGGUGAGUAACGCGUAGGUAACCUGCCUGGUAGCGGGGGAUAACUAUUGGAAACGAUAGCUAAUACCGCAUAAGAGUAGAUGUUGCAUGACAUUUGCUUAAAAGGUGCAAUUGCAUCACUACCAGAUGGACCUGCGUUGUAUUAGCUAGUUGGUGGGGUAACGGCUCACCAAGGCGACGAUACAUAGCCGACCUGAGAGGGUGAUCGGCCACACUGGGACUGAGACACGGCCCAGACUCCUACGGGAGGCAGCAGUAGGGAAUCUUCGGCAAUGGACGGAAGUCUGACCGAGCAACGCCGCGUGAGUGAAGAAGGUUUUCGGAUCGUAAAGCUCUGUUGUAAGAGAAGAACGAGUGUGAGAGUGGAAAGUUCACACUGUGACGGUAUCUUACCAGAAAGGGACGGCUAACUACGUGCCAGCAGCCGCGGUAAUACGUAGGUCCCGAGCGUUGUCCGGAUUUAUUGGGCGUAAAGCGAGCGCAGGCGGUUAGAUAAGUCUGAAGUUAAAGGCUGUGGCUUAACCAUAGUACGCUUUGGAACUGUUUAACUUGAGUGCAGAGGGGAGAGUGGAAUUCCAUGUGUAGCGGUGAAAUGCGUAGAUAUAUGGAGGACACCGGUGGCGAAAGCGGCUCUCUGGCUUGUAACUGACGCU
Molecule: ribosomal RNA, 670 nt
Filed under: uncultured Bacilli bacterium
Lineage: Bacteria; Bacillati; Bacillota; Bacilli
Description: bacterial SSU rRNA
Rfam family: Bacterial small subunit ribosomal RNA
Source: RNAcentral